This 806-nucleotide long non-coding RNA is filed under the name Trifolium pratense (red clover). Its description in RNAcentral is "long non-coding RNA (TPRA_LNC012756)". The record is from RNAcentral. Lineage: Eukaryota; Viridiplantae; Streptophyta; Magnoliopsida; Fabales; Fabaceae.
UUUGUUUCUGCUUAAAAAAAAAAAAAAAACAUUUGUUUCUUCAUAAAAUCAAGAUCAACCUUCAUCAUCAAAUUCCAACAACCCAUUUUCUUCUCACAAUAUCUCAUUCCAAUAACCCACUAUGAUUUUUUCUUAGUUGUGACAGAAGAAAAGUCACUAUCACUAAUUUAUCAUUACUUGCAUCUGGUUAAUGUUCUCUCUCUCACUAAUUUAGGAGUUAUUGAUGGUUAAUCUAUUUGUGUCUGCUUCAAAGGAGCUUCUUUUGGGUUUGUUCAUUUUUGGGUUGCUAUCUGCUCGCCUUCGCGUGGUGGUGGUGAGUUCGUGGGGGUGGUGAUUUUUGUGAUUCUGGGUUUUUUUCUCUCAUGGGUUCGUGGUUGUGUGUCUCUGAAUUUGUGGUGGUGGGGAUCUCUCUUGAAUUUAAUCCUCAUAAAUGAUUGAUUUUGAAUUUGUUGAUUUUAUUGAUAAAUUUGUUGGUGGUAGGUAGUGAUGAAGUUGGGAUUUGGAUGACGAAUAGUUGUUGGAUUUUUUUAUAUUUUUAAAUUAGUUUAUCAUGUGGCAACAUUUCACUAAAUAAAUAAAUUAAAAAUAAAAGAAAAGCCACAUAUACUUGCCAUGUCAUCUUAAAUGAACAGUCAGCAUCCCAGUUGUCAACUCAGGGGGGUAAUUGAUGGAAUCUUGAUAUUGCGAGGGGGUAAUCAAAAAAAUAUAUUUUGCAGGGGGUAAAGCAAAAAUCAGCCAUAUUGCAGGGGGUAAAGACCUAUUAACCCUUAUUUUUAUGUUUUUGUGGGGCAAUAAUAAGCCCCAUA